GAGCCAGCUCAACUCGUCUUCUUGUGGCAGGGCCUCCAGAUGGGUAGGUCAAGGAAAUACAGUAAGCCGCCUAUCCGGAUUUCAGCAAGGCUGCCUAAAAGAAGUCCUAGCAGCCAGUCAGAGAACUGUGUUCAGCAACAGGAUUAGUGACUGCACAAUUGGCUGACCGACCCCAAAUUCUGCCUGGAGUCAUGUUCUCUUUAACCAUGCUCCACAUUCCACCUUCCGUUGUCCUGUCCGCCACUUGUUCAAUGUCUUGAUGCCAACACAGACGGUGUGUUUGUGAGACCUACUGAUGACCCCACCAAGCAGGAAGGUAAAAUGCACAGAUGCACACAGAGACAGAGGUAACCAGAAGCAGUCGAGGAGAGAAGCACUGAACGCACAUGCAGCACUGUGACCGCCUAUGAUGGGGAAGAAAGUGCCCAGCGACACAGCAAGAAAGACGCCAGACAGCCCCACAGAAAUCAGACCCAUUUUCACCUCGAGUUGCCAGUCUACCUUGCACAAUGGAGCUCAAAUUUUCUCAAUACACAGGUGCUGCCAUAUAAAGGGCCACAAAUGAAGUGGCGCAAGCCCAGACAUUUACUGUGUUGCAAUCCUGAAGGCUGGAAGUUGAACUCAGAGGUUCCGUGGGACUGGGCUUCCUCAGAAGGGAGGGUCUGCUCCAGGCUUCUCUCUUGGCUCCUGGCUGUAUUAACUCCGUCUUCACACAGCGCUCUCCCUGAGGUGCACUUGUCUCUACAUUUCCUCUGCUUGUAAGGACACCAGCCACCUGAGUGGACUAGAGGGGGGUCAGGGACCCUCUCUAGUAUGUCCGCAUCCUAACUAAUUGCUUCUGUAAUGACCCCGUUGCCUAAUAAGGUCACAUUCUGAGCAUGAAUUUGGGGAGACCCAAGUGAACAUGGGGCCCACUGUUAGAUGACUCACAGAGUGUGGACUCCUACUCACUUUCUAUGUUGUUUCCUCUGCCAUUCUCUCCCCGAUCUAGAAACACGGUGCCCUCCCAUUAAGCACCAGUCACUUGCUUUCUUUUCUGUGUCAAUGUCUCUACUAAAAAGAAGCCAAAUUAAAGGUUGCUAAAAGCAGGCUGCUCCAGGUAGCUGAAAAAUCCCGCUGCUGAUUUAAAG
Molecule: long non-coding RNA, 1130 nt
Organism: Chinchilla lanigera (long-tailed chinchilla)
Lineage: Eukaryota; Metazoa; Chordata; Mammalia; Rodentia; Chinchillidae
Exons: 4
Source: RefSeq, a predicted model, not a curated record